RNAcentral lists this ribosomal RNA (403 nucleotides) under Campylobacter gracilis. RNAcentral describes it as "bacterial SSU rRNA". It matches the Rfam family "Bacterial small subunit ribosomal RNA", at positions 29 to 429 of the family's 1533-position model. Lineage: Bacteria; Pseudomonadati; Campylobacterota; Epsilonproteobacteria; Campylobacterales; Campylobacteraceae. The record is from RNAcentral.
AGUGAACGCUGGCGGCGUGCCUAAUACAUGCAAGUCGAACGGAAUUUAAAAGAGCUUGCUCUUUUAAAUUUAGUGGCGCACGGGUGAGUAAUAUAUAGCUAAUCUGCCCCUUGCUGGAGGACAACAGUUAGAAAUGACUGCUAAUACUCCAUACUCCUUUUUACCAUAAGAUAAAUCGGGAAAGAAUUUCGGCAAGGGAUGAGACUAUAUCGUAUCAGCUAGUCGGUGGGGUAACGGCCUACCGAGGCUAUGACGCGUAACUGGUCUGAGAGGAUGAUCAGUCACAUUGGAACUGAGACACGGUCCAAACUCCUACGGGAGGCAGCAGUAGGGAAUAUUGCGCAAUGGGGGAAACCCUGACGCAGCAACGCCGCGUGGAGGAUGACACUUUUCGGAGCGUAAA